CCUACGGGUGGCUGCAGUGGGGGAUAUUGCACAAUGGGGGGAACCCUGAUGCAGCGACGCCGCGUGAGUGAAGAAGUAAUUCGUUAUGUAAAGCUCUAUCAGCAGGGAAGAAUAAAUGACGGUACCUGAGUAAGAAGCCCCGGCUAACUACGUGCCAGCAGCCGCGGCAAUACGUAGGGGGCAAGCGUUAUCCGGAUUUACGGGGUGUAAAGGGAGCGUAGACGGCUAUGCAAGCCAGGUGUGAAAGCCCGCGGCUCAACUGCGGUAGUGCAUUUGGAACUGUAUGGCUGGAGUGCAGGAGAGGCAGGCGGAAUUCCUAGUGUAGCGGUGAAAUGCGUAGAUAUUAGGAGGAACACCAGUGGCGAAGGCGGCCUGCUGGACUGUAACUGACGCUGAGGCACGAAGGCCAGGGGAGCGAAAGGGAUUAGAUACCCUAGUAGUC
This 442-nucleotide ribosomal RNA is filed under the name uncultured bacterium. RNAcentral's name for it is "partial 16S ribosomal RNA". It matches the Rfam family "Bacterial small subunit ribosomal RNA", at positions 338 to 795 of the family's 1533-position model. The record is from RNAcentral.